RNAcentral lists this ribosomal RNA (253 nucleotides) under uncultured bacterium. RNAcentral's name for it is "partial 16S ribosomal RNA". It matches the Rfam family "Bacterial small subunit ribosomal RNA", at positions 524 to 776 of the family's 1533-position model. The record is from RNAcentral.
UACGUAGGGAGCAAGCGUUGUCCGGAAUCAUUGGGCGUAAAGAGCGUGUAGGCGGUUCGGUAGGUCCGUUGUGAAAACUCGAGGCUCAACCUCGAGACGCCGAUGGAAACCAUCGAACUAGAGUCCGGAAGAGGAGAGUGGAAUUCCUGGUGUAGCGGUGAAAUGCGCAGAUAUCAGGAAGAACACCCGUGGCUAAGGCGGCUCUCUAGUACGGUACUGACGCUGAGACGCGAAAGCGUGGGGAGCGAACAGG